This 497-nucleotide ribosomal RNA is filed under the name uncultured bacterium. RNAcentral's name for it is "bacterial SSU rRNA". It matches the Rfam family "Bacterial small subunit ribosomal RNA", at positions 16 to 507 of the family's 1533-position model. The record is from RNAcentral.
AUCCUGGCUCAGGAUGAACGCUAGCGGCAGGCUUAAUACAUGCAAGUCGUGGGGCAGCAUGAGUAGCAAUACUUGAUGGCGACCGGCAAACGGGUGAGGAACACGUACACAACCUUCCUUCAAGCGGGGAAUAGCCCAGAGAAAUUUGGAUUAAUACCCCAUAAUAUAUUUGAUAAGGCAUCUUAUUAAUAUUAAAGCUUCGGCACUUGAUGAUGGGUGUGCGGCUGAUUAGAUAGUUGGCGGGGUAACGGCCCACCAAGUCUACGAUCAGUAGCUGAUGUGAGAGCAUGAUCAGCCACACGGGCACUGAGACACGGGCCCGACUCCUACGGGAGGUAGCAGUAAGGAAUAUUGGACAAUGGACGAAAGUCUGAUCCAGCCAUGCCGCGUGAAGGAUUAAGGUCCUCUGGAUUGUAAACUUCUUUUAUAUGGGACGAAAAAAGGGCAUUCUUGUUCACUUGACGGUACCAUAUGAAUAAGCACCGGCUAACUCCGUG